AUUCAGAGAAUUGUUAAAAUUACCGGAAAUCUUUUCGACAAUUUGUAUAUUUUAAAUAAUUAAAAUCGAUAAAUUAUUUAAAUUAAAUACCUUUUUUAUUCCCAUUCAAUUGCAAAAUACAAACUGUGGUUUUAACGCCCGAAUCAUUUAUAAUACCGGAAUAAAUAUAUAUUUAUUUAUCCGACCGAACCUCGCGAAAAAAAUUGCCUAACGUUUAAAAUUACCCAUUUAAAAAUUUCCCAAAUUUUUGGAUUUUGGAAAUUUUAAUAGGAAAAUUACCGCAAAAAUUACCGAAUGUUUUCGGUUUAUUUUGUAAAUCGACGGACGAUAAUUUCCACGGCAGAUAUUUAUUUUCCUCGAAACGGAAUAUAAUAUAUUUAUCGGAUAAAAAUAAUGGACGAAAUAUUAAAUAAAUUUAUUUCCAAUUACCCGCAAUUUCGUUUAAUUUAAUAAUUUGCCCGUUAUAAUCCAAUAUUUACCCGCAAUUAUUAUUUAACGUUUAAAUCCGUUUUUGGAUUUCCAAACCCAAAUUAACGCAAUUCGCCGGAACCGUAAAAUAAAAUAAAAAAGCCGUCGUAUUUAAAUCCGCAAAAUAUUUUAAAACCCUAAACGCCUAUACGAGAACCAGGUUUAAAUCGCAAAAAUUAACGUUUUUCCAAUUAUUUUAAAAACUGUUUUUAAUAAAGGCCUGUUAAUUAUUAUUUGGACCCUUUUUACCAAUUUUCGUUAAAAUCGAUGGAAAUUAUCCCUAUUAUCCACGGAAUUUAGACCGUUGGUAUUAAUAAAUAAUAUAUUUAUAACCAAUUUAAAUACGGUAUUAGCCCUAUAAUAAAAGAAGUUUACAAUGGAUAUCCUAUUCCAUUUUUUGCAAAAAAAACCCGAAACAUAUCGCGCAAAUACGAGACAAAUUGCCCAAAAUAUUUACCCAUUUUAAAAAGAAUUUCCAAAAAAAUAUUGACGAUUUUCUCGUUUAACCGACCCGGUUUUGAUAUAAUUUUGGAAUUCGAAAAUUUUUUGGAAAAAUAACCAACCCGUUAUUUGAUUUUUUUCGCGAUAAUAAAAUUGGAAAAAGAAUAUCGACGAAUUUUUAAUAAUCGAUUUUAUUAAACGGAUUAUGGAAAAAACCGCAAUUUUGAUUUUAUUUGUUUUUAAACCGUAAUCGAAAAAAUGACGUUUUUAUAUAAAUUACCAAUAAGUAAAUAAAUUUAUUAAGAAACGACAAAUAUUUGUUUCCGACGUGGCCGGAACGUUAAACAAAUAUGGAAAAACCCGGAAAAUAACAAAAAUCGAUAUUAUUCGAAUUUUUAAGAAAUUGUUAAUAAAUUUGAAUUUACGGUAUUUAACGGCGUUUGAAACGCAAUAAAAUAUAUUUUGAUGGAAAAUCCUAUUUUUUAAGUUAAAAAUGGGAUCCGCCUGGCUCCAAAUUUUUAUUAACGUUUAAUUUAAUAAAUUAUUAAACGUUUUCGCGAACGUCUACGCAAAUAACGUAUUAAUUUACACCGAAAUAUAAUUGGAGCAAAUCCAUUUAAAAUAAACCGAAAAUAUUAUUUACAAAUUGCACAAAGCCGGAUUUCAAAACGAUAUUAAAAAAUUAAAUUUCGGCGUUUUCGAAACCAAAUACUUGGAAUUAUUUUUAAAAAUCGGUAAAAAUAUCCGUAUCGAUUCCAAAACAGUCGAAAUUAUUAUUAAAUCGGCGAUAAAAUAAUACUACCUCCGUUUCCGCAAUACAAUUUUCUUAAAUUUAUAUAAUUUCGUUCGGACAUUUUGCUAUUACGCCAACAAAUAAACAAAACUUUUAAUCAAAUUAUUAAAAAAAGAAAUCCCGUUCGAAAAAAACCCCGAAUAAAGAUUUGCUUUUAAAACGUUAAAAUAAUUGGUAAUUACCGCCCCUGUAAUAAAUCUUUUUAAACCCGGUAUAUUUAUUAAAACAAAUACCGACGUUAAUAAUAAAACUACCGCCGGUAUUAUAUAAUAAUAAUAAAAUAAUAGUAAUCGGAAAUUAAUCGGUUAUUUGUCCAAAAUUAUAUUCCCUAUUAAAUGAAAUUAUCCGAUUUAAAAUUAGGAAUUAUUAAUUGUAAUUAAUACGUUAAAAAAUUUUGAACCAACCUUAUUAGGUACCAAAUUUUAUAUUUUUACCGAUUACCAAGCCCUAAUUUAUUAAUUAACCAAAAAACUUUUAUCCGUUCGCCAAAUACGAUAAAUUAUUUAUUGGUUAAUUUCGAUAUUACUUUUAAAUACCGUUCCGGUAAAAAUAAUAUAAUAACCAAUAUUUUUUCGCGCAAAACCAUCGAUAACUUUACGGUUAAACCCCGAACUAUAUUAAAUUGUAUUAUUGCAUUAAUGACUCCAAAAGAAAUCGAUUUCCGACCCGGCGAACCGUUUCCAAUUAUUAGCAAUUUGGAAUUUUCCGUACCGUAAAAAAAUAAUUUAAUGGUUUUUUUUUGGAAAAAAACCUAAACCAAAAUUUGAAUUAUUAUAAUAAUUUAUUAACGGUACCUAAAAUUACCCAAAAGAAUAAAAAAACUUCAAAAACGGUUUUUAUCCGCGAAAUUUAUAAACCCAAAAUUUUCGAUUAUAAAAAUUAAAACAAAACCUUUAACCGUUUUAAAAAGAAUUAUUGGUGGUCCGAUAAAAAUCGAAACGUUAAACGUUAUAUUAAAAAUUAUUGCGAAUAUUAACGUAAUAAAAUAUAAUAUAAUAAAAUAUUUGGAUUGUUGCACCUAUUGGAGAUUUUAAACGGUAUUGGUAAUACGUAAUAAUAAAUGGAAAAAGUUUGCCCAAAAAUAAAAAAGGUUACAAUUACGUUUGAGUUUUUAUUUGCCGAUUAAUUUAAUUUUUAACCAUUUUACCAAGAAAAAAAAACGGAUAUCGCGGAAAUUUUAAUUAUGCGGUAUUAUUAAAUUAUAUACCGUUGCAAAACCGUCCCCGAUUUAUAAUUUUCCAAUAACGCCGGACCGUUUAUAUUCGAAUUUUUAAAUAUUUUAAACAAAUUGAUAAAAAUGAAAUAUAAAUAUAAAAACGUUCGUUAUUUUUAAAAUUAAAAUAACGUUAAAAUUACCAACGUUAAAUUGGAUUAAAAAAUGCGUUUUUAUAUAAAUAAAUACCAAAUAAAUUAGCGACAAUAUAUUUCCGUUUUCGAUUCCGGUUAUAAUUUGUCCGUUUACGCCUUUAUUAGUAUAAUACCGAUCGAAACAAAAACCGGAAUCCGUUUUAAAAACCCGUUUCUUUUUUAUUUUUACCCGAAAAAAUUUGGAAAACCGGUUAAUAAUAAAAAACGUUGGAAAUAAUCCGCCAAAUCCGGCAAAUUUAAAAGUUGGUCCGUAAUAACGGAUUUGGAACGUAAAUAAAAUAAUAAAAGCAGGUUAAUAAAAAACGACGAUCGAUCGAUUUUACGGUAAAGAAUGCGGUUUACGUUAAUAAAAAGGGUUUUUCUGUAAGAAUUCCUACGACCAAAUUGAAUUCGCACAAUGUAAAAUUAUAAACAAUUUUCGAAAAAAGGGUUAUAAUUUCAUUUUCGAUAUUUUUACCUAAUAUGAAAAUAAUAAAUUGUUUUA
Molecule: small RNA, 3554 nt
Filed under: Pyricularia oryzae
Lineage: Eukaryota; Fungi; Ascomycota; Sordariomycetes; Magnaporthales; Pyriculariaceae
Description: Magnaporthe oryzae sRNA M_BR32_EuGene_00060851
Source: RNAcentral